GGUUCUAAUUUAGAUUUUACAAGUUAGUGUACCCGACUCAUCAAAAGAUACCCUAUUUAUUUAGAAUCCAGCAUAUGCAAAAUUAAAUAUAUGUAUGUUUGUAUAGUUGUGACUUCUGAUCUUAUAUAAUUGGCGCAUGAUGACCAUGGGCGUCUCAGGGAUGCUCUGUGCCCACGACCCUAACUUUUUUGAAGUGGAUUCCUGCCAUUAUAACUCUGCCUCCCCAUUAUUUUGAUACGGGAAUACGGUUUAUGGAAUAGCUGCUUUUGCUAACCCCAACUAUGGCGGUGCCUACAUAUAUUGGGUUAUAUUGGACUACUGCACCAUGAAAGAGUGACACUGAAAAAAAUAUUGAAAAAUCAAAAGAAUAAUACACUCUUGCGAAAUAAUUUUCGACACCUUUUCGGUACUCGAAACGCCGAUGAAAAAAGGGCGCUAUUCCUCGGAUGUAACUUCGUGGAGCUAUGGCAUCAGGAAACUGGCGGAGUGACGAGAUUGGGAAACCCCACCAUUACAUAGGGAAGCACAUAGAAAAAAUUCGUCAAAUUAAAAAACGAGUAAAUUGCCAGACCUAUGGAAACCGGAAGCGGGCGGAGUGGGGAGAUUUGGAAACCAAAAUGAUUUGGUAUACCUGUGGCCACAUUUCGCAAGCCACAAGCGACAAUCUUCUUAGCGCAACUGUAUUGAAUCAGGACAUUAUCCAUGUCAAAAUAAGCGAAUUUCAUAUUUCAUUAUGGUAUAUACCGAAUCCCUGACUGUCAAUCCUAAGAAGUCAUCAUACUAGACGAAGCCAUCGAAGCAAUGAGAUUGAAUGAUAUUUAUUUAACAUUCCGUCCGAUGUUAAAGGCUUGUGGUCCCCCUAAUAAAAUGCAUAUCAUCAAAAAGUUAUAUAUUUAUUAAA
RNAcentral lists this small RNA (901 nucleotides) under Drosophila ananassae. Its description in RNAcentral is "GF27720". The record is from RNAcentral. Lineage: Eukaryota; Metazoa; Arthropoda; Insecta; Diptera; Drosophilidae.